AUUGAACGCUGGCGGCAUGCCUUACACAUGCAAGUCGAACGGUAACAGGUCUUCGGAUGCUGACGAGUGGCGAACGGGUGAGUAAUACAUCGGAACGUGCCUAGUAGUGGGGGAUAACUACUCGAAAGAGUGGCUAAUACCGCAUGAGAUCUACGGAUGAAAGCAGGGGAUCGCAAGACCUUGUGCUACUAGAGCGGCCGAUGGCAGAUUAGGGAGUUGGUGGGAUAAAAGCUUACCAAGCCGACGAUCUGUAGCUGGUCUGAGAGGACGAACAGCCACACUGGGACUGAGACACGCCCCAGACUCCGACGGGAGGCAGCAGUGGGGAAUUUUGGACAAUGGGCGCAAGCCUGAUCCAGCAAUGCCGCGUGCAGGAUGAAGGCCUUCGGGUUGUAAACUGCUUUUGUACGGAACGAAAAGCCCUGGGUUAAUACCCUGGGGUCAUGACGGUACCGUAAGAAUAAGCACCGGCUAACUACGUGCCAGCCGCCGCCGUAA
RNAcentral lists this ribosomal RNA (498 nucleotides) under uncultured bacterium. Its description in RNAcentral is "partial 16S ribosomal RNA". It matches the Rfam family "Bacterial small subunit ribosomal RNA", at positions 30 to 523 of the family's 1533-position model. The record is from RNAcentral.